Molecule: ribosomal RNA, 497 nt
Filed under: uncultured bacterium
Lineage: Bacteria
Description: partial 16S ribosomal RNA
Rfam family: Bacterial small subunit ribosomal RNA
Source: RNAcentral
GAUGAACGCUGGCGGCGUGCUUAAUACAUGCAAGUCGAGCGAACGGACGAGAAUCUUGCUUCUCUGAUGUUAGCCGCGGACGGGUGAGUAACACGUGUAUACCCUCCCUAUCAUACUGGUAUAACUUCGGGAAACCGGCUCUUAUACCGUAGGAUAUUUUGCACCGCAUGGUGCAAAGGUGAAAUACGGUCUUUCUGUCACUUAUAGAUGCAUCCCGGCUGCAUUAGCUAGUUGGUAAGUUAACGGGUUACCAAGGCAACGAUGCAUAGCCGAAGUGAGAGGGGGGUAGGCGACACGAGAACUGAGACACGGACAAGACGACUACGGGAGGGAGCAGUAGGGAAUGUUACGCAGUAGGCGAAAACAUGACGGAGCAACGGCGAGUGAGUGAUGAAGGUCUUCGGAUCGUAAAAAUCUGUUAUGAGGGAAGAACAUAUGUGUAAGGAGCUGUGGAGAUAUUGACGGUACCGAAUAAGAAAGCAACGGCUAACUACGUG